GAAUAAAUCAACACAAGAUCACUAGGUUACAGACUUAGGAUACCAUCAGCCUGAAACUUCAGAGAGAAAUUAUAGCACACUUGAAACAAACAGGGAAAUUAGUUUAAGUGUUUCUGGAAGAAGUUGGUCUUCACCCGUUGUUUGAGGCAGCGGCUGUUUGGACAUCUAUGGGAUGUUCUUUUCAUCACUUUGCAGCCAGAACAGAAAAAAAUCUUGAUGUAGACAUUCUUCUUACCCUGAGAGACGAGCAGAAUAAAUCAGACGAGCUGAUAAACACUUAUAUUGGGUAUUUGGAUUCGGUAUUGGAUUCGGUAUUGGAUCAGGUGAUGGAUCAGGCAUUGAAGCAGUAAAGAGAGGAUGAAGGUGAAUGUUAAUGCUCCUGAACUCUUUCAGCAUGGCACACAGUCUCUCACUUUUCUGCCUGUUCGCACUACACUGUGUUUCUCUCUCCCACAUCGUUCAGUAUCCUGCAGUGGUGAAGGUGUCUGCAGGUGAAAACGUCUCGCUGAAGUGUGAUUCGGCGAACGUUUGGUCUGGAUGUGAUUCAGUCUCCUGGAUUAAAGUGGAUCUGAGGAGCAGAAGGCUGAUGGUGAGCACCGCUGUUCGUCCUGAUCCUGAUCCGAGAACCAGACCGUGUACAGGAAUGAUCUAUAACUCCAGCACGGCUGAUUCAGGGAUUUACUACUGCUCUGUGAAACACAGCGUUCUCUCCUACACCGGGAACGGCUCCACCCUCAUCGUCACAGAUCCACAUCCUCUGCCCCUGGUGAUGCUCUACGUCCCAGAUGUCCCUGUCGGACCCCCCGUGUCUCUUCAGUGUGUGGUGAUGGGCGUGGUUCCAGCUGAAGCAAAAGUUUCCUGGCUUGUAGGUGAAUCAGAGCUGACCGGCUGGACAGAGUCUGGGUGGACACACCGACAACCCUGCUGAAUACACACGAGCUCAUCUGAGCGUUCCCGCCGAGAACUGGAGGGAGGACCAGAAUGUGGAGUGUGUGGUGGAGGUGGAUGGCAGACGCAUCUCUAAAUCUCUAAUACAAGGAUCCGGGCAGCUGUGCUCGUGGUUGGUGUAUUUGUGCUCCGUCGUGGCCUUCGUCAUCUUCAUGGUUUUGGUGUUACUCUCGUUUCCUUACAGACCGGAGGCAGGAGGAGAACAGAUGCAGUGAACAGAGACACCGAAAUGGAAGUGCAGUACGCAAGUCUGGAUCUGGUCAAUAAAACACAACGAGGAAACUCUGAACAGAAAUGUUUUACUGAAUAAAGGUGUGUGUGUGUGUGUGUGUGUGUGUGUGUGUGUGUGUGUGUGUGUGUGUGUGUGUGUGUGUAGAAAAGCAUUAUAAUGUCCUCAAUUGCAAAUAAAAUCCACCUGAU
Molecule: long non-coding RNA, 1368 nt
Organism: Silurus meridionalis
Lineage: Eukaryota; Metazoa; Chordata; Actinopteri; Siluriformes; Siluridae
Exons: 7
Source: RefSeq, a predicted model, not a curated record